CAGCCGCCGCGGUAAUACGUAGGUGGCAAGCGUUGUCCGGAAUUAUUGGGCGUAAAGGGCUCGCAGGCGGUUUCUUAAGUCUGAUGUGAAAGCCCCCGGCUCAACCGGGGAGGGUCAUUGGAUACUGGGAAACUUGAGUGCAAAAGAGGAGAGUGGAAUUCCACGUGUAGCGGUGAAAUGCGUAGAGAUGUGGAGGAACACCAGUGGCGAAGGCGACUCUCUGGUCUGUAACUGACGCUGAGGAGCGAAAGCGUGGGGAGCGAACAGGAUUAGAUACCCCGGUAGUCCCUGUCUCUUAUAC
Molecule: ribosomal RNA, 301 nt
Filed under: uncultured bacterium
Lineage: Bacteria
Description: partial 16S ribosomal RNA
Rfam family: Bacterial small subunit ribosomal RNA
Source: RNAcentral